Molecule: long non-coding RNA, 3181 nt
Organism: Lynx canadensis (Canada lynx)
Lineage: Eukaryota; Metazoa; Chordata; Mammalia; Carnivora; Felidae
Exons: 5
Source: RefSeq, a predicted model, not a curated record
GCUUCCCCGCCGCGCCCUCAGCCCAGGCUGCCUUGGGGGCUGGGCGCGGCACUUCCUGCUCCGGGGCCCCAGCGCCCCGCGCCCCCAGCCCGCGGUGAUCCCGCGGUGGAAGCUGUCGGUGCUGCCGGGACGGGUGCUGGGCCCUUGCUUUCCGUUCGGGGCUGCGCUCCCCUCCCCAGGAAUCUGCUGCUCCCUUCCAAAAUAAUGGGCGUGGGGGCCGGCGGGGGGAGGAGUGUGUGGUUGUGCGUGUGGUUGUGUGUGUAGUAUGUAGUUGUAGGUGUGGAUGUGCAGCGUUGCACGCUGUGUCUGCAGUCAUCCCGGCUCGCAGGAGAUCCCCCCCGCCCCGUCCCUGUGCAGUUCCCACGUCUCAUGCCUUUGCCCUCCUCCCCCCUCCCCCAACCUCCCCUCUUCCUCUCCUUGGGGAGGCUGAACCCUUGCAUAGACUCGCCCCAAAAGAAUCUGAGCCGAGGGUUCUUAGAGAUGAAGAGACGGGGGAAACAGGUUUCCACUGCUCUUUGCUCCGAUUGGGGGCCGGUUGCCCUCUCGUCGUCGUCUGCGUUCCCUGAGCUGGGAGGCUCUCGCGGGAGUGGUGGCGGGUGUUCCUUAAAGGGUUGUAAGCAUUGUCUGAAGGGCGGUGGUGAGAGCAGGCAGUCCGAGAGGGCUCUCUAUUCUUUCUCACACCAGGGCUCCAAGAACACUGUGUCCAAGGGUGUGGUUUUCCUCCUUGAAGAUAACCUUGAAGAUACCCUACAAACGUUCUUAUUUUCCAUAUUAACCCAUUAUAGGAGGGGUAUAAUGCGAUUGUUCAAAUCUUUCUUAGAAAAGUUGUUAUUUUCAGUGGUAUUAUCUAAAGAUGUUUAGGUAGUAAGUUCCAUAAAUUAACAACACGGGGGGGGGGGGGAAGCUGGUUGUUGUCUUAUUUGUGCAGAACUUUCCUUUUUCAAGUGCCAAGGAGUAUUAGCAAGCUCUGUUAAAGUGGGAUUUGGUGGAAACAUCUAAAUUCUGUCCACGUCUUCCCUAUUUUCUCUGCUUUUCUUGCAUUCCCUCAGUGUGUUUGGAAGAGAAGGAAGAGCAUUUAGGCUUAUGAAUUUGAUAUCCCAAACCCCUUGUGUGGCCUUGGGCAAGUCUUUCCUACUCCUCCAUUUCUUCAUCUGGAAAACAGCUUUAGCAUAAAGCCUAAGUGAGCUAAUAGAACAGGCAUCAAGUGGAAGCCUAAUAGGGCAGCCCCGUGAGACUGCCACACUCAUACUUCCUUAGUGUAUCAGUCAUCUAGCUCUAGAGUAUGCUGUGUAACAAACUACCCCCAAACCCAGUGCCUUAAAAUAUUAAUCAUUUAUUUUUGCUUGUUCAUCUACAGGUCAGUCAGCUGCUGCUGGUUUGGACCAGGCUGGGCUUGGUUGCAGGUUGCCAGCUGAAUCUAGGUCUGCAGGACCAGGAACUAGCUGGUGCUUAUUCUUCUCAAGGUCCUGGGAGUUUACUCCGUGCAUCUGGGAGAUAGGAAAAGAGGAAACAAAUACAAGACUGCACUGGAGUUUUUAUGGACCAGUCUUAGAGUUGUGAAACAUCCUCCUUUUGGGUACCAGUUUUGCCAGCCUGGAGAAUAGCUGCACGAGUCUCGCACAAAGGAGCCAGCUGCCAUGUUGUGAGCAGUUCUACGGAGAGGACCACGAAGUGAGGGAGCGCCAGUCUGUGGCCAACAGCCAGUGAGGAGCUGAGGCGAUCAACAAGCGAGUUUGGAAGCAAGUCCUCCGGCCCCAGAUCUCAGUGGAAAGCCUUGAGGUCCUGGAUUUUGCCUGCCACCGAUCUGUGCGUGAAGUUUGCUCUGUGCACCAGUGCUUGCUAAUGUGUUCAAUCCUUUAUUGUCUACACCUUUUGUCUUAGUCAUGAGGGCUGACAUGACAGAAUACUAUAGACUGAGUAGCUUAUAAACAAUAGAAAUUUAUCUUUCACUAUUCUGGAGGUGGGACAGUCCUAGCUGCUGGCAGGUUCAGUGUCUAGUCAGGAUGUGUUUCCUGGUUCCUAAACGGCCAUCUUAUCACUGUGUCCUCACCUAGUAGAAGGGGAAAGGCAACUCUCUGGGGUUUCUUUUAUAUGGACAUGAAUCCCAUUCACGAGGGCCCCACCUUCAUGACCUGAUCACCUGCCAAAGGCCCACCUCCUAAUACCAUCAUCUUGGAGAUGAGGACCCAAACAUUCAGCCUAUGGCACCAGUGUUCCAUGUUGAUAAAACUCUUCGAAGAGUCACUCUGAUGCAAGAAAAUUAUACCUAAGAACAAAUGAGGCUUUGUUCCUUAGGUUGUGAAUUUUUUGUCUCUAGGGCAUGGUAUUAGAUAAUGAGGAGGUAUGGGUCACACAUGGGGUUAGGAAAUGAUGAAUAGAAGGAUUACAGAGAAAAUAAGAACAUGUAUUCUUAUUUCUCCAUUAAGUCCAUCGAGAUUUGUCUGAGUAUCUGUGCUGAGUAUCUGUGAUAUAGAGACGAGUAAGCUGUGGUUCCUGUCCUAAGGAUCAUACAGUCUAGUGGACGACAUGGAUUUGAAAGAAACCUAAAAUGUUGGUGGAAUCAAAUAGAGCCAGUGUAAGAGUAACGACUGCGGAUGCCAUGGAGCAGGGAUCGGCCGUCCCUGUCAAGCGCUGUCGGAUUUCCUAGCCAACAGAAAUCGUGACUCUCAUACCUGGAUGUCGUUUUAAACCACUGAAUUUUGGGGGAUGAUUUGUUACGUAGAGUAAACUGGGGCACAUGGUGAAAAUCUCUCUCCCCCCUCCAAGCCCCAAAUCUCCCAUUUCCUUCCUUGGGAGCAAUCCCUGCUACUGGUCUUUUGUGCACUCUUUCAGAGAUGCUGGCAUUACAUAUGUGCGCACAUAUAUUCCUUUAUUUUCACAAAAGAUAAUGUAUUAUCACACGGGAUAUUGAUUUGGGGGUUACAAAUGAAUUUUAACAAGUAAGUGAAUUCUCUAAUAGGGAAUCCAUGAGAAAUGAAGAUUGGCUGUUUUCAUUAAAAGUAUCAGUUAAAUUUUAAAAUGUUAAGAUGUUCAUAUAUAUUUUCAAUGAUAUUUUCUCUUAAAAUAUUAUCUAGUAUUCGAAAGUGAAGUACAAAUAAUUAUUAAUGAAUUUCAAAAUUGUAAGCCAGCAUUAUAUUUUAUUUUAUUUUAUUUUAUUUUAUUUUAAUUUAAUUUUAUUUUA